Sorex fumeus (smoky shrew) is the source of this 100-nucleotide small nucleolar RNA. RefSeq annotates it as small nucleolar RNA U13. NCBI's taxonomy places the organism in Eukaryota, Metazoa, Chordata, Mammalia, Eulipotyphla, Soricidae. The transcript has a single exon. The record is from RefSeq and is a predicted model, not a curated record.
AUCCUUUUCCAUUUCAUAAGCAUGAUAAUCAGGUGAUGACACUUCUAUGUGACAUGCACCUCCCUUUAAUCUUAGAACUUGGCACAAAACCUAUCUGACA